GGUUAAGCGACUAAGCGUACACGGUGGAUGCCCUGGCAGUCAGAGGCGAUGAAGGACGUGCUAAUCUGCGAAAAGCGUCGGUAAGGUGAUAUGAACCGUUAUAACCGGCGAUGUCCGAAUGGGGAAACCCAGUGCAAUUCGUUGCACUAUCGUUAACUGAAUACAUAGGUUAACGAGGCGAACCGGGGGAACUGAAACAUCUAAGUACCCCGAGGAAAAGAAAUCAACCGAGAUUCCCCCAGUAGCGGCGAGCGAACGGGGAGCAGCCCAGAGUCUGAAUCAGCUUGUGUGUUAGUGGAACGGUCUGGAAAGUCCGACGGUACAGGGUGAUAGUCCCGUACACCAAAAUGCACAGGUUGUGAACUCGAAGAGUAGGGCGGGACACGUGGUAUCCUGUCUGAAUAUGGGGGGACCAUCCUCCAAGGCUAAAUACUCCUGACUGACCGAUAGUGAACCAGUACCGUGAGGGAAAGGCGAAAAGAACCCCGGCGAGGGGAGUGAAAAAGAACCUGAAACCGUGUACGUACAAGCAGUGGGAGCACCUUCGGGUGUGACUGCGUACCUUUUGUAUAAUGGGUCAGCGACUUAUAUUCUGUAGCAAGGUUAACCGUAUAGGGGAGCCGCAGGGAAACCGAGUCUUAACUGGGCGUUAAGUUGCAGGGUAUAGACCCGAAACCCGGUGAUCUAGCCAUGGGCAGGUUGAAGGUUGGGUAACACUAACUGGAGGACCGAACCGACUAAUGUUGAAAAAUUAGCGGAUGACUUGUGGCUGGGGGUGAAAGGCCAAUCAAACCGGGAGAUAGCUGGUUCUCCCCGAAAGCUAUUUAGGUAGCGCCUCGUGAAUUCAUCUUCGGGGGUAGAGCACUGUUUCGGCUAGGGGGUCAUCCCGACUUACCAACCCGAUGCAAACUACGAAUACCGAAGAAUGUUAUCACGGGAGACACACGGCGGGUGCUAACGUCCGUCGUGAA
This 971-nucleotide ribosomal RNA is filed under the name Klebsiella pneumoniae. RNAcentral describes it as "partial 23S ribosomal RNA". It matches the Rfam family "Bacterial large subunit ribosomal RNA", at positions 1 to 1014 of the family's 2925-position model. RNAcentral also lists the same sequence under 1 other name. Lineage: Bacteria; Pseudomonadati; Pseudomonadota; Gammaproteobacteria; Enterobacterales; Enterobacteriaceae. The record is from RNAcentral.